Long non-coding RNA from Nomascus leucogenys (northern white-cheeked gibbon), 996 nucleotides. RefSeq lists it as uncharacterized. The record is from RefSeq and is a predicted model, not a curated record. Lineage: Eukaryota; Metazoa; Chordata; Mammalia; Primates; Hylobatidae.
AGAGACUCCACUGAGAUGACACGCGGACGCAGCCUCAGGACCCUAAACUCUACGCCCCAGCACACCCUACCAAGUGAGCGCCCGCGGCCGCGUGACGUCAUCUACCCCAAACGCUGUGGCCCCGGCCACGCACGGUUUCGGGGCGGGACUACGCGGUGGCGUCGAGCUGCGCGGCGCAGCGCGCGGCGUCAGUCUUAGCUGGCAGACUCUGUACUCCGUAUUCCGCAUUCCGUACUCCGUACUCGCAGCGGCGCCGUCUUCGGCAGCCUAGUCAUCCACCGCCAUCCUGGGCCCCACGUGUUGCCUGACCAUUCCUGAGCCCAGGUGGGAGCCAUGGCUGAGGUGACGGUCUCAAAGUGGAAGAGCUUACUGUCACAGCAACUCUUUUGCAAGAUGCCCCGGCCAGGAACAGUUGCUGAACACCCCAGGCCUGCUGAGGUCCCUCCUUGAGUCUCAUGUUCAAGCAGUCUUUGUCCAUGAAACUGGGAGGCGACCUUGUUAGCUGCCAGUUCCUGACAGCCACAUCUCACCAGUGGCUUCACUCUGUGUCCCUGACCCAGCACUUGGCACAAGAGUGCCUGCCAUCCCUCAGUGUUUCUACAGCAGCAAUCCUGAGCUGCCAGAGCUAGAGGGGACCUGACCUGAGAGAAGAUACCUUCAGUGGCUGCCAGUCUGUUCCUUGGAACCUGUGCAGGGAUGAGGCUUGUCUGUGUUAAUACACCUGGUGAGGAGUGGAGCUGAAUUUGAAUGCAAGCCUUGGCAUCUUCAUUGAGCAAGUUUGAAACCUCACUUGUUGCCCUUCUGGAAGGAGUCAGGAAUUUCCAGUUCUGGGCCUGGGCUGUGGGUCUGACAGACAGACCUCUGGCCCUAGGUUUGGGUGCCAGGUUCUCUGCUUCCAGAAUGAGAAGCUUUGCUGUGCACCGGGACCUGGGCCCUUCUGGUAUCUCCUGAAUGAAAAACAAGGGAUAUUUAAUAAAUAUGGAUUUAAAUAUGUGA